RNAcentral lists this ribosomal RNA (253 nucleotides) under uncultured bacterium. RNAcentral's name for it is "partial 16S ribosomal RNA". It matches the Rfam family "Bacterial small subunit ribosomal RNA", at positions 524 to 776 of the family's 1533-position model. The record is from RNAcentral.
GACAGAGGUGCCGAGCGUUAGGCGGAAUCACUGGGCUUAAAGCGUGUGUAGGCGGACUCGUAAGUGCUUUGUGAAAUCCCACGGCUCACCCGUGGAACUGCUUGGCAUACUGCGAGCCUUGAGCCACUUAGGGGCAACCGGAACAAACGGUGGAGCGGUGAAAUGCGUAGAUAUCGCUUGGAACGCCGAAGGUGAAAACAGGCUGCUGGGGUUGUGCCGACGCUGAGACACGAAAGCCAGGGGAGCAAACGGG